This 715-nucleotide unclassified non-coding RNA is filed under the name uncultured cyanobacterium. RNAcentral describes it as "partial contains 16S ribosomal RNA, 16S-23S ribosomal RNA intergenic spacer, and 23S ribosomal RNA". The stretch from base 1 to 112 matches the Rfam family "Bacterial small subunit ribosomal RNA", at positions 1423 to 1533 of the family's 1533-position model. Lineage: Bacteria; Bacillati; Cyanobacteriota. The record is from RNAcentral.
GAAGUCGUUACUUCAACCCUUGUGGAGGAGGACGCCGAAGGUGGGGCUAAUGACUGGGGUGAAGUCGUAACAAGGUAGCCGUACCGGAAGGUGCGGCUGGAUCACCUCCUAACAGGGAGACAACAAAAUGUAAAUAUUAAUUUUGUCACCUUAGGUCGAUCGGUAUCUCAGAUUCUUAUUAUUUAAGAAUUUCAGUUUCUAAGUUUUUUCUAGGUCACACCCAUCACUUUUUCCUGGGCCAUUAGCUCAGGUGGUUAGAGCGCACCCCUGGUAAGGGUGAGGUCCCUGGUUCAAGUCCAGGAUGGCCCAUAUCUCUAUGUUGGGGGUAUAGCUCAGUUGGUAGAGCGCCUGCUUUGCAAGCAGGAUGUCAGCGGUUCGAGUCCGCUUACCUCCACUGAAUACCACCUCUUACAUAUAGUUGAAGUGGGAAAUUGUUUUGAGUCGUGUCCUAAUUUGCUCUGAGCGAAUCUAGCUUCCUAUUUUAUCCAAGAAAUAAGAUGCUGGACUCAUUGAAUUUUUUUUCAUUGUUUUCAGAGAACCUUGACGACUGCAUAGAUUAUUUUUAAAGACAAUAAGCAUCUUUAAUGAUGCAGAUUUAUUAUUUGUGCGAAUGCAUUAAAUAACAAUUCUAUUAAGCUGAUGCUUCAAUUAUUGAAGUUAUUGGUCAAGCUACAAAGGGCUCACGGAGGAUACCUAGGCACACAGAGGCGAUGAA